AGCGAAACCUUAGUUUUUUUGUUAAAGUUUUUUAUGAAACUGUUAUGCUAGUUUUGCAGACUGAUACCAGCUCUGUUGUUAAAGAUUUAUUUAUGUUCUGGAGUAAUAUUUUACGCGAUUGCAGGUCAUGAAGACCAGACCCUUAACUUCAUUCCAGGACUGUCCGCAAUGACCUUCCAAGACUUACCUGGAGAAAUAGCUUCCGGGAACUUGGAUUCUACCCCCUCACUCAUACUACACAAAAUGGGGCUCACACUGCCACGCGCAACUGCUAUUGUUGCCAACUCCUUUGAAGAGCUAGACCCCGUAGUAGCAACACAUCUCAAGUCCAAGCUGCCAAAGCUUCUAUGCGUGGCUCCUUCCGCCCUAACGUCCUCACCGGAUGAGUUGAAUUCUGAUGUGAAUGGCUGCCUAUCUUGGUUGGACAAGCAGAAAGCGAAGUCAGUGGCAUAUAUCAGCUUUGGAAGCAUGUUGGCACCCUCACCCGACGAGCAUGUAGCAUUGGCAGAAACGCUGCAAGCAACUGGGGUGGCAUUUCUUUGGUCUAUUAAGGACAACUUGAAGAAAUAUUUGCCGGAAGGAUUUCUAGAGAGGACGAGCGGGAAUGGAAAAGUAGUUCCAUGGGCUCCCCAGAUCCGAGUCUUAGCACACCCUUCAGUUGGAGUGCACAUCACACAUGGCGGUUGGAACUCAGUGAUGGAGAGCAUUGCAGGCGAGGUGCCCAUGAUCUGCAGGCCAUUUUGGGCUGAUAAUACUCUCAACUCGCGGGCAAUAGAGGAUGUGUGGGGGAUCGGUGUUGGAGUUCCAGGAGGGGUCCUCACAAAAAAUGGAUUAAAGGCAGCCCUAGAACAAGUUUUGGGGCAGCAAGGGAGGAUGACAGAAAAAAUUGGUGUCCUCAAAAAGCUUUGGACAAGGGCCACUGAGCCAAAUGGGAGCUCAACUCAGAAUUUCCGUACUUUGUCGAAGAUGGUGACGAAUGAAUAGGCAUAGUAGUUCAAUUUAAUGCCUCUAUGUUCUUACAUAUGCAUGCCAAUGAUGAAAAUGUAAGGGGCUUCUUUAACUUUUGCAACAAUUUUAAAAAUUAAUUAUUAAAAAAUAUAGUUGGAAAAAUAUUGAUAGAUGUACGAAAGUUUUUGACAGUUUUUAUCAUGUGAAAGAUGUUUUUUGAAAAGACACCUUUCAUAAAUUUCAAAAUUAUGGUAGAUAUUUAAAAGAACUAAAUUUAUACUAAAGGUGUCUUUUGAAAAGACUUCCACAAUUCUAUAAAAUCCAAUAUGUAUUAAAAGUGUCUUUUGAAGAGACACUUUCCACAAUUUGGCAAUUUUGAAUGUCUCAUGAAUUUGAUUUUAAAGUUAAAGAUGUCUUUUGAAGACUUUUUAGAAUUCCAAAAAAAUUUAAUUUAUACAAAAGGUGUUGCUUGAAGAGACUUUUCACAAUUCCACAAAUUCCAAUAUAUAUUGAAAGUGUCUCUUCAAGAGACACCUUCUACAAUUCCAAAAAAUUGGAUUUAUACUAAAAGUGUCUCUUGAAAAGAUACUUUCCACAAUUCCACAAAAUCCAAUAUGUAUUAAAAAUUGUAGAAAUGAUUUUAAAGCUAAAGAUGUCUCUUAAAGAGACGCCUUCAGCAUAAAAUAGAAAUUUUCCACUGUGUAUGGAAAUUGUGGAAAGUCACUUGAAGAAACUUUUCAGUAUAAACCCAAUUUUUUUUUAAAUUAUGGAAGGUGUCUCUUGAGACUUUCGUACUUCCACAAUUCCCAAAAAAUUGGGUUUAUACUAAAAAGACACUUUCCACAAUUUCCAUACACAAUGGAAAAUUUUGAAUUUAUGCUGAAAGUGUCUCUUCAAGAGACACCUUCCACAAUUCCCAAAAAAAUGGAAUUAUACUCAAACACAUUUCAUAAUUUCAAAAAAAUUGGGUUUACACUAAAAGUGUCUCUUAAAGAGACUUUCCACAAUUUUUAUUCACAGUGGAAAAUUUCAAAUUUUGAAGAGACACACCUUUCACAAUUCUCAAAAAAUGAAAUUAUACUAAAGGUGUCUCUUGAAUUGAUUCAAAGUGACAUUUGGGGACCAUCCACAAUUCCAAAUAUAUCCGGUUCUUGUUGGUUUGUUUCUGUACUAGCAUUACUUAGAUAUUCUUAAUCAAACAAAAAUCCUAUGUAAAAAGUGUUGUCCCUAACUUUCACUCCAUGAUUCAAAACCAAUUUGGGGGAUAAAACUAAAAUCUUUAGGUCUGACAAUGCAUGUGAUUAUGUCAACCAAAUUUUGACACCCUGCUUCCAAAAAGAAGGCAUUAUUCAUGAAUCAUCCUGUGUAAACCCACCACAACAUAAUGAGGUCGUUGAAUGGAAAAAUGGCCAUUUACUCAACGCUACUCAAGCAUUGUUAUUUCAAGGGAAUGUUCCUAUAUCUUAUUGGGGAGAGGUUGUUCUUAGUACCACUUACAUGAUCAAUAAACUACCCUCACAAAUAUUAGAUUUCAAGACUCUCUUGGAAACCCUUGCAAAAUUCUAUCCACAUGUCAAAACAUCAACUAGCCUCAUACCUAGAUUAUUUGAUUGUACUUCUUUUGUCCAUGUUCAUAGCCAAAAUAGAGAAAAAUUAGACCCCAGAGCAAUCAAAUAUGUGUUUCUUGGCUAUUCAUCUACACAAAAAGGGUAUAAGUGAAAUGAAGAUAUUGGAGGCUUAUAGGAAACACUUGAUGUGUUGGUGGAUAUUUAAUAUGGUAAGGAUCCUAAGGAAAAGAAAUUCUAGACUAUCUUCAGCAAUGAGACACUUUAAAGAGAUUAUGCAAGAGCUAAAUUUUCAUAAUAUUCCAUUGAUGGAGGUCUUUUUUUUUUUUUUUUUGAUAAGUCAUUGAUGGAGGUCCUUUCACAUGGUAAAGGUUUGAGACAUCUUUCUUUGUUAAGAUUGGACCGAAUUUCUUGAAUCGGAGGAUUGGGAAUACCAUUUUAGCAAAAAAAUUUCAAGUGUUUUGCUAAGAAUAGUCAUUGAUCACUUUAUUGUGUUGUUGGAUGAAGGAAUAAGAAGGGGUAAAAACCAUCUUAGAUUCGAGAUUAUAUGGUUUAAAGUGGAAGGUUCAAGGACUUUAUUAAAAACUAAUGGAAGAGAGUUAAUUUCAUGAUAUCUUUUAGCUUUGUUGUUAUCUGUAAAUUGAAAACUUUGGAGGACGAUCUUAAAGUUUGGGAUGAAUAGGGUUUGGGAAUGUGAAAGCUUGGAAGUCACAUGUCUUAGAUCAAAUUGGUUAUCAAGAUUUAAAGAAGAGAGAAGCAAUAGAAGUGUAGUAAUAGAAGAAUACAAUCAAUGGCCCAUUUUAGAAAAACUUCUCGGAUGGAAAAGUCUAGAGAAUUGCAAACAAAGGAUGGAGAUAAAAGCACCAAAUUUUUCCACAAAAUAGUUAAUGCCCAUAAGACAAGGAAUGGAAUUCAAGAAUCAAGGUGAAUGGUGUUAACUCAUAGAGGAAUCAGAGAUAAAUGAGUAUCAAAUUCUUUUUUUUUUUUUUUUUUUUUGAAAUUUAGGGAUUGGAGACCUAGCAUUCGCAAAUGUCUUUUAACACUUUAGACAGGAGGAAUAAGUGUUUUUUGCUUUAUCUAGGUUGAGUAGAAAACAAAGACCUAGAGUUAGAUGGCUUCACCAUGUCUUUUAUUCUAUGAUGUUAGAAUAUUGUAAAGUAUGAAGUAAUGGGUUUCUUUAGGGAGUUUCAUGAGAGGGACUUUUUUUGAGAAAAGCUUAAAUGCCACCUUUUAUCAACCAAAAAAUGGGUAUGAACUAAAGGACUUCAUAGGUUAACUCAAUAAACUUCAUAUGUCCAUGCCAUCUUUCUAAGCUCCUUUACAACCCUAAGAAAAAAGGAACGGAAGACUUAACAGGACUUCAUACCCAUUAGUUCAACAGUGGGCUAGUAUAAACUACUAGGUAAGUUUAUGGCCGAUUAGCUCAAGAAAGUGAUAGGGAGAGUGCUCCCAAUGCUCAAAAUGCCUUUAUGAAGAGUAGACAAAUCUUGGAUGUGAUGCUUAUUGCAAAAGGUGAUGGAGUCAAGGUUGAAGAGCUCUAGUGGGCAGUGGUUUGUAAGCUAGAUGUCAAGAACACCAAUGACCAUGUUAAUUAGGUAUUUCUUUUCAGAAAAUCUCAAUAACAUCAAUUUUGAGCAUGAGUAGAUCUAGUAGACUAAGUGGUGUAUAUCAACUACUAGGUUUUUAAGGUUGGUGAAUGAUGCUCCUAAUUUUCUAUAAAGCUAUAGGGGUUGAGGUAGAGGGAUCUCUUAUCUCCCUAUUUAUUUGUCUUAGCAAUAAGGGCACUUAGUUUUUUUCUCAAAAAGGAUGAGGUAAGGUGGUUUCAUCUUUGGUUUAAGGGGGGAGGGAAAGGUGGCAAAGGGGUGAUGGAAUCUCAUCUUUUAAUAGCGACAUUCCCAUCUUCUAUGAUUUAUGCCAACAACAACUAAUAUAUUUACAUUAAACUCUCAUGUGGUUUGAGAUAGUUUCUAGGUUGAAAACUAAUAUAAAGAAAAGUGUUUUAAUUCUAGUAAGACGGUCUCUAAUGUGGAGGAAUUAGAUUCUUUGUUAGGUUGUAGGAUGGGUGAGCUCCUCAUCAUCUACUUGGGUCUUUUGUUGGAACCUCCUUAAAAUUUUCGAUGAUUUAGAAUGUUGUAUAAGAGAGAUUCUACAAAAGCUUGCUUUGUGGAAGUGGCAAUAUCCAUCAAAUGGUGGAAGGCUUAUAUUGAUUAGCACUCUAUCUAUUGCCAAUAUAUUUUAUGUCUUUGUUUGUCAUUUAAAAAAAUGUGAGCUUGAAACUUUAGAAGAUCCAAAGAUACUUCCUUUAUGGUAUGGAGCCCUUGAGAAAAAAAAACUUCAUUUUACAAGAUGGUUGAUUUCUUGCAUGGACAAAAAGAAAGGAGGGUUUAGCAUUAGAGACUAGCAGUGCAACUUAGGUGGGUUCAACCCAACCUGAUUUUGGACAAGCUUAUGCAACACUUUUUGCAUUUUGGUUAAGCAUGGGCAAAAAAAAAAAAAGUUAACCUAAAUUUAAUUUAGGUUAGGACAUCGUGCAACAUGAACCCAACUUGAACCCAAACUAAGUAUAAUAAUAAUAUUUAUAUAUUUAUAAUUUAUAUUAUUUUUUUAUAAUAAUAUUCUAUUCAAUUCCUUUCAAAUGAUAAUUUAACUAUAUUACAUAUUAUUUUAUUUUCUUAUAAAGAUAAUAAUUUUUUAUUAUCUUAAAAUGAUUUAUUAUUUGUUAUUCAAAAUUUUGGAAUAAAUGUAUAAAAUAUAAAGUUAAAAAAGUUAUUACAAAUGGGUUCAACUCCAUCCACCUUGAAUUUGUCUCAUAGAACCCAAACAAUUGUCUAACCUAAGGCAAAUCCCUAUCAACCCAAGUCUAACCUAAACUUAACCUAAGCUUAGAAAAAUAAGGAUGGAUUGUGUUUGGGUUAAAGGUCAGGUUGGGGUUGGGUUUGGGUUGCAAACUACCCCAAGUCACAACCCUAUUAGAGAUUUAUUUGUCCUUGGCAAGGCUUUGCUUGGCAUAUGUUUUUAGGUUUGCCUUUCAAAGGGAACCUCUAUGGACCCUAGUUAUAGUGGAGUAGUUUAGGGAACAAGCAAGUGGUUGAGUAUAGGGAUGGAUUGUGGAAACAAAUAGGGAGAUGAUAGUUAGUAUUUAAAAGUAAAGCCAAUUUUGUUAUGGUAAGAGUGAAGUUCUAAAAUGGUAUUUAACAUGGGAAUAUCCAUUGAGUCUCUCUUUCCCUUUUUCUUUGCAAUUUCCAACUCAACUAAUGCUUAGGUCAAGAAUGUUUGAGAAUAUUUAGGUGAGGGAGGGCAUUAGAGACCUUUUUUAUCUAAAUGUGACCGACCGGUCCAAUCCAGUUUUUAAAACGAUGAUAAUUACAUGGUUGGUGGUAGAAUUCAAAAUAAUCUUGACUCCAAGAAAUAGUGUUUGUUGAAAUUUGAUGUUUUAAUGUGUGUUCAACGAUAGAUUGCAUUUUUCUAAAUCAAAUAAUUAGUCUUAAUAAAUAGUUAAAGACAUAUUAUUACACCCAAGGAGGAAAAUGUAGGGAUAUAUCACCGAUAUAUCGUGUAUCGGGAUGGGUCGAUAUGAUAUUUCGUGGAAAAAAAUCGGAGAGAAGAUAUUUCCACAAAAAUCGCCAAAAUAUCGGCGAUAUAUUGGCUCGGGGAGAUAAAUCGGCGAUUUUGUGAAAAAAUCAUCUCUGAUGGCAAUAAAUUGCCGAUAUAUCGGUGAUUAAUCAAAGAUAAAUCGUCGAUUUUUUGGCGAUAUUUCCCCUCCUUCAUGCAGCGUGAUCUGAUAGCCCAGAUCACGCUCAUGUUGAUCCAACGACCUAGAUGUGAUUCCAACAGUAAUUGAUUACUACUCAAAAAGUGCUAUUUCAUAGCUUGUAAUUAACUCUUUUAAACACUUUUGAGUAGUAGUUAUCACCUUUUAACCCAAUUAACAUAUUAAGGACCCUUGCAAUCAAUUCUAAUCAAAUUGUGUUAAAUUUUGGUGUUUUGAUAGCUUUUUGAUCACCAAAGCAAUCCGAGAUUGAGGAGAGUUCUUUGGAAUCCAUGACAAAAGAUAUCCGGACAGGGCGUCCGGACACACCAUCGGAGGGCAGCGGAACGUGGGCUGUGGUAGGUUGUCGAAAUGACGUAGCAAGGCUUGUGCACUUUAGUCAAUGAUCCGGACAACACAUCCGGAAUUCUACUCCGCCGACAUUCCACCCGGAUGUCUCACAUCCGAAAUUCUAACGCCGGAUGGGAGAAGAGGGCGUUUCAACUUCCCCAGUCAGACAUAUCCGGAUCCUUUGAUAGCGCUUACCCGAAGAGUUUCGCAGCCAUUUUGCACAGUGUCGCGGUGUUCUCCUGAAGCUUCCAGAUAUUUGCAACCGACAUUUUGAGAUAUUUUGCUUUAGAUAUUUGAUGUUUAAAUCCCCAAACUCUCCUUGUAACCCACCAAUUAUAGGAUUCCUUAGUUAUUAAGUUUGGAAAAAGGGUGAAUAACCCCUUAUAUAUAGUUUGUAAUCUUCUUUAGAUAGAAUAUCAAAAUCUCGGGAGCUUGUUCUCAGAGACUAAUCCUUUGUAUAGUUUUGGAAGGAAGUAAAAUACAGAGCACUUGCUCUGCUUUUCAUAUAUAUUUUUGUUUUCUCAUUAUUUUUCUUUCUAGCCAAUCAAACUCUGAGGAUUUUUCCUCAGAGGAUGAGAGGCUAAGCUCUUCGUCUCUUAGAGUAAAGAAAGCCGGGUAAGUUUCCACAUGCAUAAAUUGGAAGUUUUGUUGUUUUAGUUUUUAAUGAAGAGAAAGUGUGACCCGUUAAUGGUUUUUAUCUUUUUAGUUAACUUAAAACACCUUUAAAUCACCUGGGCCAACACUUGGUAAGACAAGUGAUCUCCGUCCAUUGAGAUGCACUAGUUUACCUCUUGCGAGCCUUUGGAAGGUGGUUUGAAGGUAGGAUUUUCUAUAAUAGCCAACACUUGGUAAGCUUUUGGACUCCAUGGAAACAUCCAUUAGUUAUCUCUUGCGAGCUUUUGACGGGUAAUCCAAGGUUAAAGAUCACUUUGAAUGACAAGUGCUAGGUAAGAGGCACGAGUCAUUGUAAGAUGCAUCAGUGAGAGGGAUUUAGUGUUUGAACCCAUUAAGGGGAAGCAUCUGUACCACACCGGUUAGAGAAUUAACUAUAUGUUAAUUCUUUAAUGCGAGGAAAAGAAACAAGUGACCGGAACUCCCUUUUUGUACAAGGAACCUGAGCCUAGUGAUCUAAACUCCAAGAAACACUUUUCUUUGUAAGUAAAAUCAGUUACUAUUUUUGGUUAGUUUAAAACAAAACCUUUUUCCACCAAAGAUUAUGUUUUCUUUUAAAGCUAACCUUGAAAUGAAAAAGCACCAAUUCAACUUUGAAUUAAUAUCAAUUGUGAAGUGAAAACCCAUUCCAGUGAACGAUCCUAGAGUCACUAUGUUAUAGUAGCUUUAUCUUUGCUACCCUAGUUCAUGGUGUAAUAGGAUAUAAAUUUUGUUGAUUACUCCCUCAAUCAAGGAGCACCAACUGGACAUGAAUCAGCUGAUACACCAAUUGGGCACGAAUCAGUAAUAUAGCAAUCCAACGGCCAAAUUGCUCCCAGUUUUUUAUCCAACGGCUAAAAUUGAUUUUCAACGGUAAAUUAAUAUUCCAACGGCUAUUUUGGCCCAAAUUUCUUAUAUAAAUAGCCCAAAUUUCAUCCAUUUCAUCCAUUUUUGCUUUCAUUCUUCAUUUGCUCUCUCAUUACUCCAAUUUUUAUUAAGGUUUCUCAAUUAUUCAAUCAUUUAAAGGUAUUUUGUUUUAAAUUGUAAUUAAUUUUGUUUGCAAUUGUAAUUAAUUCAUGUAUUUUCAAUUAAUUAGUAUGUUUGCAACAUGGAUGAUUUAAUGCUAUUUCUACAUUCAAUUGUAAUUAAUUUUUAUAUUUUUAUUAAAUUAACUUAGGUUAAUUUGAUUAUUUAAUUAUAAAUUGAUAUGUUUAUUUUAGAUGAUUAUUUGUGAUUUAUUUUCACAUUUAGAAUUAAAUUAAACUAGUUAACUUAGCUAAAUUAUUUAAUUAAUUUAAUUAACAUGUUAAAUUAUUUAAUUAGUUUAAUUAACAUGAACUAGUAUAUUUUGAAUAUGAAAUUAGUUUAUUUAAUGAAUUUAAUGUGUACAAAUUAUCAAUAUUUAAUGAAAUGAAGUAUUUUAUGUGACUUUAUAAUGAGAACAAUUACAAAACUAACAUUUCUUAUAGAUCGACAUGAUAUAAUUACAUCUAAUAUCGCAAAUUAUAUCAUAUGUAUAUCAAAUUUUUCAAUAAAACAACUUUAAAAUAUCUAUUAUACUUCUAAUUAUAUUAUUAUGAGAUUUUCCUUACAUUUCCAUGAGUUUUUAAUAAUUAUAAGUCUAUUUCCAUCCCUGGUUUUGAUCCAUUUUGCCCUAGUUUUCUAUUUCCCACGUCCCAAUCAGAUUAUCACCAAUUUUCAUAAUUCUCAAAGCCUCACUCCAAAACAAAAUCAAAUCAAACGUGCUUCUUUUUUUCUCUCUUUCUCUUUGCCUUUUACACCGCCAUAUACAGGGAGACUUCAUUUUAUAAUGUGUUUGGAAUUCAAAUUUUUGCAUAGGUUGUGAUUCAUUUAGUUUGCGAAGAAGGAGAUUUUUAGAGUUACGAAUAAGAUUUUUUCUUGUUUUCAUAUAUUUUUUCUUUCAUUUUGUCUUUUGUUUUUUCUAUUCAGUUCCUAGAAAAUGUAAGGGAAGAGUUGUUGAAAUCUAUGACCCUAAAUUUCAUUAUUGUGGUGUUUCUAUGCACCUUUGUAUGCUUUGUUGAAAUUUGCAAGGUUAAAUUUAUUGUUAUUGUGUUUUAUAUGCACAUUUGUUUGGUUAUGAAGAAAAUUGGGGAAAUAUAUAUUUUUUUUUCAUGUUCUCUCAUCGUAAUUUAAUCUAUUUAUUUUCCUCAAAAAAUAUGGGGCAAUUAUUGCAAGUUAGAUUUCUGGUGUUGGGAUUUUCCUUUUUAUUCUUCCUCUUCUCCAUUUUUUUAAAAUCUUUUCAAACAAUUUCUAGGUUGAGUUUUGUAGGAAAAUACAACAUUAUUUGGUAUGCUUGCUUGGUUACCAAGAAAAUAUUAGAAAACUAAACAAUUUAAACACAAAGCAUAAAAAUAACAUGGAAUAGUGGAAAAGAACAAGUACAUGGAACAUGAUGAAGGUGAGACAAAAAAUCAGGAUGAUUUGUUAAAUUUAACAAAUGUUGUACAAGUGUUCACACAAUAUAUCAAGGUGGGAUGAGUGUUUCAACAACAACAAUCCAACUUUUCAGGAGGAAUGACAGUUUGAUAAUAGUAAAAAUAAUAAAUAAAAAAUGAAACAAAGUUACAACAAAACUCUACAUUUCAGCUUUUAUAAUAUAAAGAUAUUUAGCAUUAUUUUAAUAUAAUAACUUUUACAUAUAACCACUUCUCAUGGGUUAUAUUAAAAAAAAAAAAUUAAAAUUGAAAUAUGGACAAUUUUUACUACCUUGGGUUUUAGCCUAUUUAAAGUAAUUUUCAUUCUCGUCUCCCCUUAAAGUAUAAUUUUCCCUAAAUUAUAUUGGCAUAUCUGGAAUAAGAGAGGUAUCAAAAUCUUGACAAAAGAACUUCUCAUUCUCCUAAUAAUAAUUUAAAAAAAAAAUUAUUCCUAAAUAAUCAAUUCUAAUAUGGUAAUUAACAAUGGAAAAUAAAAUGGAUUUCCUAUUAUCAUUUUCUUUUCCAUGCUCAUCUAAACCAUGGAUGAUGGAAUCACUAAAUUAUAACAAUUAAGGCUCAUUUUCCAUCCUAGUUGAGGUAUGGUAUUACCAUAAAAAAAUUUCUUUCUCCAAAAAAGAUUAUCAUUCCAAACAACUACAAAAUAUCAAACGCUAGAUUUCAACUUUAUCCUCUCAUCAUCAACAGAUAUGAGGUUUAAAGCAAAAGAAGAACAAACCAAAUAAGAGAAAGAAGAUAAUUAAGGAAAGGAAUCAUGGUAAGCAAGGAAAAAGAAACACACAAUGGAUGGCAGUGAAAUUAAGCAACUAAUUUAGGCUUCCACAUAUUUUCAAGUCAGCUGUUUGGACAAUUUGUUUGUCUAUCUUCUUCAUUCAAACAGAUCCUCACCAAUAUCUUCAAAAACUACGCCUCCAUGGACCAACACAUUGGUGUCUAGGCCUUCCCCUUCACCUCCCAUCCUCAAACCCUGCUCGGACUUGUCCGCAGGCUCGCAUUUGCAGCGCCCCACACAAAGUUCUCCUUCUUCAGUACCGCAAACUCCAAUGCCUUCCUCUUCUCCACCCAAAGCGCCGAUGGCCUUAAUAAUGUUAAACCCUACGACGUGGUGGAUGGGGUGCCGGAGGGCCAUGUGCUUUCCGGGAACUCUGAAGAGGUUGUUGGGUUUUUCUUGAAGGGGGCGGUUGGGAACUUUAGGCAGGCUAUGGAAGUGGCGGUGGCGGAUACCGCGAGGAAGAUUAGCUGCUUGGUCACCGAUGCGUUUUUAUGGUUCGGUGCGGAUAUGGCCGAGGAAAUGGGGGUUCCAUGGGUGCCGUUUUGGAUAGCUGGCCUUUCUGCUCUCUCUGUCCCCUUUCAUACUGAUGCCAUAAGGCAAAAAAUAGGACUUAAUGGUAAGUGAAACCUUGGUGUUUUUGUUGAAUUUAUUGUGAUAUAUUUUUGCAGAUCCUGAUAUAUAGUAUGGGUUACAAUUUAUGUGUUUGUUCGUCUCGGUGAAUGAUACUUGAACCUGAACCUAUGAAUCAUGUGUUUCAUCCCCUAUUACCAAAUCAUUUCCUUCUUCCUAGACUGGUGGGUAAAUGGCUUCUCAUUUAUGGUGGUGUUGUUCAUUGUAAAUUAUUGGUAAGAAAAGCAUUUUCCUUCCUCAUGGAUUCAUCUCAACAACCACAAUAACACAAAUUGAAGGGUUGCAGGGCAUGAAGACCAAACCCUUGACUUCAUUCCAGGAUUGUCAGCAAUGCGGGUUAGAGACUUACCUGAAGGAAUAGUUUCCGGGGACUUAGAUUCUGCCCCCUCACGCAUGCUGCAUAAAAUGGGGCUCUUGCUGCCACGAGCAACUGCAGUUAUCGCAAACUCCGUUGAAGAGCUAAACCCCAUAGUUGCAACCGAUCUCAAGUCCAAGCUCCCAAAGCUUCUAUGCUUGGCUCCUCCUACCCCAUCAUCACAGCCAGCAUCCAAUCCCGAUACGAGCAGCUGCCUCUCAUGGUUGGACAAGCAGAAAGCAAAGACAGUAGCAUAUAUCAGCUUUGGAACCAUAUUAUCCCCAUCCCCAGAUGAGCUAGUAGCACUAACAGAAGCCCUAGAAGCAACUGGGGUGCCAUUCCUUUGGUCAAUUAAAGACAACGCAAAGAAAAAUUUGCCAAAAGGGUUUCUAGAGAUGACAAGCGGAAAGGGAAAAGUAGUUCCCUGGGCUCCUCAGAUGCAAAUUCUGAAACACCCUUCAGUUGCAGUGCAUGUGACGCAUAGUGGUUGGAACUCAGUGAUGGAGAGCAUUGCAGGCGAGGUGCCCAUGAUCUGCAGGCCAUUCUUUGCGGAUAAUAGUCUCAACUGUCGAGCAGUGGAGGAUGUAUGGGGGAUUGGUGUGGGAAUUGAGGGCGGAGUCUUCACAAAAAGUGGAUUAGUGAGUGCCCUGGAACAAGUUUUGUUAGGCGAAGGAAAGAAAAUGAGAGAAAAAAUUGGAGUACUCAAAGAGCUUUGUAGGAAGGCUGAUGAACCAAAUGGGAGUUCAUCUCAAAAUUUCAAUACUUUGCUAGAGCUUGUCACAAAAUUUCAGAUGGAUUCAUCUGCCAACUAGUAGUUCAAAUAAUAUUUUGGUGUUUCAAUCAAGUACUGACCAUGGAAUAAGAUGAUGAGAAUUCAUAAAGUUGCAUAAUAUGUAGAAGUAUAUAUAUAUAAAAGCUGGUGAAUUAGGUGUGUUCAUAUAACUUAAUUCUUCUUGUGCUAAUAUUUAUCAAGAAGGAGAUUUUUAAUUUUUAAUUUUUAUUUCUAAUUAAAUAAAUUUCUUUUUUAAGGCUUUAUUUUCUUGAAAUAGUUUGGUGUUAAAAAACGUGAAAAAAUAAUUUAAAAAAUGAAAAUUGAGAAAUCUUGUUUGGAAUUGAAUUUUUUUUAUAUGGAAAAAAUCAAAUUGUAUUUGUUGAUUUUUUUUUUAAAAAAAAUUUCUUCUUAAUAAAAAAUAGUUUAUCUAUGAUUAACAAGGAAAUUAGUUAAUUGUGUUCAUUUGUUUGUUACUGAUUUUUAUACAUGAAAUAUAAUUAAAUAAUAAAAUUAUAUUUGUUCAUUAUUCUUUUUUUAUUUUAUUUUCUCUAUUAGUUAUUUUGAUAAUGCAAUAGAAAAUUUUAAUAUAUCUCUAAUUAAUAAAGGCAUUGGCCAAUUGUAUAUAUUUUGAUAUAUUAAAAUGAAAUAUUUUUUAAUAAAAAAACAUCAUAUUAGUGAUUGAGAAAAAGGGGAGAAGAUUAUAAUAUGGUAAUAUUGUUGAGUGUUUUCACUUUUUAGAAAAUCGUUUCCAUUUUUCUUAAAAAAAAAAAAUUGAAAAUACCACGUUUGUUUUUUCACUUUUUCCAUUUUUUUUAAAUUGGUUUAAAAAAAAAUAGAAAAAAGGUUAAAUAAAAACUUAAGAAAUUUGUUUUUUCACUUUUUCCAUUUUUUUGAAAUUGGUUUAAAAAAAUAGAAAGAAGGUUAAAUAAGACCUUAAGAAAUUUCAACAAAGAGCUAUUUUUAUUGUUUGCAAUGGGACAGAGAGAAAAAAAAAACCUUUUUGUACAAAGAUGAAACUUUUUGCAGAAAAUAAUAUAUUAAAAUCAAAAUUUUCUAUUUUGUAAAUAGAAGUUGAUAUAAUAACUUUGUAAUCUAUGCUGAUCAUUGUUUUCCCAAAAGGAAGUCCACACCUUACUACUAGAAGUGGUAAAAUGGUGAAGAAAGAAAGUUGGGUUUGCAAAAUAAACCUACCAUAAAUGAUAAGAAAAUCAUUUUUAAAGAUGCAACUUGUAAUGACACUUGAUUCGUACCAAUUGUACAAUCAAACAUUUCAUUGACUCUUACCAAAAUUAAAAGAAAUAUUGGUGACUAAUUGAUUAAUUGACUCUUACCAAAAUAUGGAAAUAUUGGUUAACAUAUCUAACCUAGAUUAUUAUAAUUUUCUUUGAAAAUCCUAAAGAUAAAAUUGACUAAUUGAUUGGUGACUAAAAUGUUUAUUAUUAAAUUCUCACAUAAGAUAUUUACUUUCUCAUGUUUUGUCCUUUUCUUUAGCAUAAUACAUGUCAUAUUUGCUAAUACAUAUCUAUGUUUUACUUGUAUAUAACAUCAAUUGCUUAAUAAAUAUAUUCCAAGACAUUUGUCAAAUUUAUUGUGCUGCAUUGGUAAAAUUGAUGUUUUUACCAUAUAUAUCAAGUAGCAAAAACCUACUUAAAAGUUUAAGAAGAGUUUGUGCUAUGUCACUAGUGGCACACAAAUCUAUAUGAAUGAUAUUUUGCAUUCUAUCAAAUCCGGAAGAAUUUGACAUGACCAACUUGCUUUGUCGAGGUGAACAAUGAUGAAUCAACUUCUUGCAAUGUCAAAAAAUGACCAUUAACAACUAGAAGUUUCUUCAACUAGUGAUUAGUUUAUUUAAACCCUUGAACAGUAUUAUUACAUGUUAUGCAAAUUACUAAUUUAAUGAAACAAGUUCUUACCAUUAGGGGGAGACAAGUUGAUUACAACAUAAUGACAUGAAAUUUCAAAUAUGAGUUAAUGUCCUUGAAGGAUAACUAACAAAUAGUACAACAAAUAAAUCUAAAACUCACUAAAGUGUAAUAAUUUGAUGUCUUAGUAGGAUAAUCAACCACUAUAGUGACAAAUGAGUCUAAGAUAAGCUUGAAGCAUGGAGGACUUAACAACUUAGAAUAUGUAUUCUUUAGAAAGAGAAAGGGUAUAAGGAAAGGUGUAUAUGCAUGUAACACUCUCAAAGAGGUCACAAAUUGAUUAAUCAGUCUCAAGUAGUCCCUAAAGUAGCACAGAUUAAACAAAUGGCCCUUAAAAAUGAACAAAUUAUACUAGCUUCUAAAAAGGCAUAUAUAUCUUACACAAAUGAGAUCUCAACUAGUUAUUUAUAUAUGGGGGCAAAAUGGAAUCAAAAGACCUUAUUGUUGAUAAUAUAUAUAUAUAUAUAUAUAUAUAUAUAUAUAUAUUAAAUGGGUAUUUGUUAGGACACAACCUUAGAAAGCAUAACAUGAUGUAAUGGUUUUAGAUUAAUUAAUAAAUUUGUUUAUUUAUGUUUCUUAGUUUCUCUUUAUUAUCCCUUCUACGUUAUUUGGUUAUUUGAGUUUAUAUGCUCAAUCACUUGCAUUGUACACGACUUGGGUGUAUUAGGAGUUGCAUAAAAGAUACAAGUCAUAGGUUCCUUGCAAGAUGAUAAAUUGUUUACAAUCAAUUCAUGAAUUUGGGCAAUUCAGUAGAAACUAUAAUACACUACCUUCUAAUUAGGGAAACGACUUAUCUUAGUCAUCAGGAUAUGUUUCCUAUAGUGAGUGUACUAGUAUGUAUGGUUAUAAAUUAAAUAAGACCUAUGGGGAAUCAUGACAUAAUAUUAUUGAUUGUCAUGAUUCAACAAACUAUUAUAUCGCAUGGAUUCUCAACCUUGAGAGGAUAUUGAACAUGUGUUAAAAUCAACAAGAGGAUUUGAUCUAUAGGUGAGACCUUAAUUAUAAGGAAACUCAAAUAUCUUUGUUUCUUACGCUUAGAUUAGGUUAGGAACAUGCGAAAACUUUCCUAGCUUAUCUAAAUAUUAUGCACAAUAGAAACAUGCAAAUAAAAACAAAACUAAGAUUUAGAUAUUAAAAUUAGUGUGCUUAUCUCGGAUUUGGAUGUUCCUGAAUCAAUUCCACAUGAUAAAGAAGAUCAUUGUCAUAGCAAGUCUCAUAGACCCAUGAUCUUUCACUCGAUGGCUCUCUCUUGAACUUGACACACUUCUAGUUGGGAGGGAAAAGAAAGUGGAAGUUAUGGGUCUCUUUCUCUCUAGAGGUGGAAGAUAACUCUUUUGAAUUUAUGGAAACCCUAACCCUUAAGGGGGUAUUUAUAGGGUUCCCUAACUAGGCUUAAGUAACUUGAGCCCACUAAAGGCUUGGUUCAUUUAUUCUAACAUAAAAUGGAUCUUAAUUGAUUAAUUAACCCAACAUGGUCUACCAAUUAAUCAAUUGGUUCAAUCUAGAGCCUUUGUUUACUUACCCUUAUGCAACCCUCUGUAAUUACCAAAUACCUUUAUGCACAAAAGUAAACCUAGAGUCAAUCUAACCUUCAUAGAUUAUGCUAAUAAGGUAUAUGAGCUCAAGCGGGGACCAUUGGGACUCAUAUAUAGGACAAUACUAACUCCUUCAAAAUCCAAUUUUGAAGUUUAUUCAACAUCCCACUAUGAAGAAUCAACUGUACUUUAGUACCUUAUGUAAAUAUCAACAAAACACUGUGCUCAAGUUCAUGACCUACUAUCCAUUACAUUCAGUCUCCCUAUGAACUGGUAUCCAUAAUCUUACAAGAUGAAAUAUAUUAGCCUUUCAAGACUACCUCUACUAUCAUUGAGUUACAGAUCCUCUUAUUGUGUGUUCAACUGACAUAUCUUAGCUCUCCUAAAAUUUAUAUUAAGUUACACUUAAGGAACUACUAUGGUAAUAGUUUAUAUAUGAACACAUCUCCUUAUAAUCACCCAAAGGACACUUUGUCUCAAUUUCAUGAGAUAUCAUAUGCCUCUAUUGAAAAUACCUAUUGCUAUUGACUUCCAUCAACAGUGACCCAAUUCAUAAGGAAUAUAUGAUCAACUUACAAUCUCACCCAUAGGUCAAAGUCACUCUUAACUUUAACACAAACUCAAUAUUCUCUCAAGGUUAAGAGACAACAUAAUGAAAUAAUUUGGUGAAAUCAUGACUACUUGAUAACUUUAUAUUAUGAUUCACCGUAAGUCAUGUUUAAUGUGUAACCAUACACACUAGUGCACUCAUCAUGGGAAACCUAUCUUGAUAGCCAAAUCUAGCCAUCCCUCCAAUUAAAAGAUGAUGUACCAUAACCUUUAAUGGGUUACCUAGACCCAUGAACCGAUUGUGAAUAAAUCAUCUACUUUUUGUAGGAACUUGUGACUUGGAUCUUUUACCCAACUCCUAAUGCACCCAAGUCACAUACAACGCAAGAGAUUUGGAAUUAUGAUAUAUAAAAGUGAACUAGAACUUUAUUAAUAAAUAAUAAAAUCUAAAAUUUAUUACAUCAUGUCAUGAUUUUAAGGGUUUUAUCCUAACAAUGUGGUCAUAUAUCUCUAUGGAUUGGUUCACUAUUUAUAGAGACUAGUGGUAACAAGUAUUUUCAAUAGAGGCACCACGAUAUCUCAUGGAAUUAAGUCAAUGUGUCACAUUGGGUGAUCCAAAGGACAUAUGAAAAGGAAGAUUGGUCAUAACAUUUCUUUUAGUGGAAAGUUGACAUAUGUUAUUUUUAGUUAUAGUAUGUCAAUUGAUCAUAUAAUAUGAGGAUUUAUAACUCAAGAAUUGAAAAAGUAAUCUUGAUAAGUUGAUAGUAGUACUUUGUUAGAUUAAGGACAUUAGUUCAUAGAGAAUCUGAAUGUAGUAGAUAGUAGGUCACGGACUUGAGCUUCACCUCAUUAUAAUUUUAUAGGAUACUGGAAUACAGUUGAUUUUUUUGUAGUGGAAUGUUGAACUAAUUCAAAAUUAGAUUAUGAGAGAACCAAUAUUUUCCCAUAGGUCCCAAUGGUCCUCACUUGAGUUCCUAAUUCAUGAAGACACUUUUUAUUUGAGAGAUUUAGGUUUUUGGUACAUAAGUGCAAGGUUGCACUGGAUUUUAUGAUUUGAAUUUCUGGAUUGGGUUAAUCAAUUAAUUAAAACCCAAUAGGGAUAAUUAACAAAUUAGAACUCAUGUAGGCUAGAUUAGGUUAUCCAAGCCCAAUUUGAGCUCAACUUACUUUAGCUCAUAGGGAAGUCUAUAAAUGCCCCUUAAGGAUUAGGGCUUCAAGAGGUUUUCUUAGCAUUAUGUCUUACAGAGAGCUAAUAAAAGGAAACCUUAACCUCCUUAAAGGAAGAAGAGAAAAACCCACACUUUUCUCAUGCCUAGAUCCAUGUGAGAAGAGAUUGGGUGGAAAAAUAUUAGGUAGAUGAGCUCCACAACAUUUUCGAGGACUUCAUCAUAUUAGAAUUAAUCUACGAACAUCUAGAUCAUAGGUGUGAUUUCAAUAUUCUCUAGAUAUAAUAAUAAUGGUUUUUGUUGUCAUGUUUUUCUACAACGUUGGAUUUAAAUAGCCCUAAGGAUAGUUGUGUGCAUCUUAUUGGAUUUAGGAUCAAAGAAUAGAUUAAUCCGAAGUUUCUAAUAGGAUUAACAUCAUAAGAAAUGAUGAUAACCCUAAACCACAUAAUCUAGAAGAAUUCUAACAUAGAAAAAAUUAAGCAAAAUAGAAAGAAAUUACUUGGGCAAAAUUAGAGUUGUUGGAAAAACGAGAAGUAUUUAGAUCUAUAGUUUAAAUACCUAAAAUCAUCAAACUUAUCAGAUAUAAAUGAGUUUUUUUUUUCUAAAGAAAACAUAAUGAGAAUAAUGAAAUCACAAGAUAUAAAGUACGAAUUGUUGCUCAAGGCCAAGGUUUCUCACAAAGACCUAAUAUAGACUACGAGGAAAUGUAUUCUCCCAUAAUGGACAAAAACAAAAUAAGUGGUAGAUUAUCCAACCCCCAUUUUAUAUUCCCUCUAUGCUAAGUUGAGACAUGGGAUAUAAUAUCUCAUGUACCAUAAAUUUUUUCUUCUCAUCAAUUAUUAUUAUUUUUAUUUUUUAUACUACUUAUUUUUCAAAAUAUAAAUUUUUUAUUAAAAUAAUAAAUUUAUAAUUAAAAAGAAGAAUCAAAAGAAUAUGUAUAAAAUACAUUGUAAAAUUAUAAGAAUAUAUGUAUUAUUAUAUACAUACAAAUUAUUUUAAUGUUUUCAAUAACAUUAUAUACCAUUUUUUAUUUAUAAAUUUCAUAUAUUUUAAUCAAGACUAUUAUUAACCAAUAAAUAUAAAAUUAUNNNNNNNNNNNNNNNNNNNNNNNNNNNNNNNNNNNNNNNNNNNNNNNNNNNNNNNNNNNNNNNNNNNNNNNNNNNNNNNNNNNNNNNNNNNNNNNNNNNNCUUGGCAAGGUAAUUUGAGUGGGGAAAUUGUGCGAUCCCUGAAUGAAAAGAAAAAAGAGAGUUUUUCAAAAUCACUUGAAAACCUUAAUAAAAAAAACAAUCUUGUACACCCUUGUAUAGUUAGUGUAAUACCAUUAUACAAUAAUCUAGAUUCCAUACAUUGUCUUAUGAAUAUCUGUCAAUAAGUCGAUUAACCAUGUUUGCAUUGGUUUGGUUUAAAAGAACAUGAAAAGUUGUUGUACAAUUUUGUUCCACAAUUAUCAUUAGUGGAAUAUAUAUUCAAAUAAUCAUAUAAGAGUUAGAUAAAAUGCAUAAAAUGAAUGUAUGAUUAACCAAUGUAUGUGAGGACUGUCAUCCAUCCUCGGCUAGGGGAAAUAAGCAAAUGAGUUUUUCAAAAUCACUUAAAAUCCUUCACAAAUGACAACCUUGUACACUUAGUGUAAAUACCUUGUAUAGUGGCCCAAAUUUCAUAUACCCUUCACUCAAUGUGUGUCCAUAUGUAGGUUAACUAUGUUUCCAUUGGUUUAGUUCACAAAAUAGUGGAAGACAUAAAAACAAAAAUUUUCCUCAAACAUCAUUAGUAGGGUCAGUAUUCGAAUUGUCAUGUACGAGUUAAAUAAAAGUGCAUGAGAUGAGUGUGUGAUAGAGAAAUGUGUGUCAUGAGAGUGUGCAAUCCUUAAAUGGCAAGAUAAAAAAAGAGUUUUUCAAAAUCAAUUGAAAUCAUUCAUAAAGAGUAUCCUUGUACACCCUUUGUACAGUUAGAACAUUUUGUUGUAUAGUUAGCAUAAUAUCCUUGUACAAUGAUGCAAAUUUCAUCCACAUGCAUACAUUAUGUGUCCACAUAGGAUGUGUGAACCAUAUUUUCAAUGAUUUGGUUUAAAAAAUGGUGUAAAAUGUCAAAACAAUUUUUUUCCCCCAACAUCAUUAUUGGGAUAAGUCUUUGAAUUAUUAUAUGUGAGUUAAAUAAAGUGCAUAAGAUGAAAGAAUUUGCGAUAGGAAAGUAUACAGUUCUUGGAUGACAAGAAAAAAAAAAGUUUAAAAUCAGCUAAAAUCCUCUACAAAUGGCAGUCUUGUACACCCCUUGUACAGUUAGUGUAUUUACCUUGUACAGUUAGCGUAUUUACUUUAUACAUUUAGUGUAACACCCUUGUAUAAUGAUAUAAAUUUCAUUCACAUGCAUAAAUUAUGUCCACGUGGAUGUGUGAAUUACGUUUCCAAUGAUUUAACAUUUAAAAUCAUUAAAACAAAUAAAAUGUUAUUUUAUUUUAUUUUCAAUGCAAAAUGUAAUUAAAAAUAAGACAAAUAAAUUAUUUAAAAAAUAUUAUUUAACCUAAAUUUAUUUAUUUAUUUCCUUUUAUUUUUGGAAAUAAAGAAAAACGAAUAAAAAAUUUAUUUAACCAUAAAAAAUAUAAAUAUAAGAUAUGUUAGAAAAUAGAAAUAAACCCAAUUUUAUUUAUUUAUUUCAUUUUAUUUUUGGAAUUAAAGAAAAAAAGAAUAAAAAGUUUAUUUAACCACAAAAAAUAUUAAUAUAAGAUAAAUUAGAACAUAGAAAUAACCUCAAAUUUAUGUACUUAUUUCAUUUUAUUUAUUUAAAUUAGAAAGUAAUUUAUUUUAAUAGAUCAAAAUAUGCACAAUUAAUCUAUUACUUUGUUAAUUAUAGAUAUAUUAAAAUUUUCAAUUCCAAAAAAAAAACUAAUAGAAAUAAUAAAAUUAAAAAGAGUAAUAAAUAUAUAUAAUUUAGUUAUUUAAUUAUUUUUUAUGUAAAAGACGGUAACACAAAAAAAUACACACAAUUAACCAAUUCUUUUGUUUAAUUAUAAACAUACUAUAUAUAUAUAUAUAUAUAUAUAUAUAUAUAUAUAUAUAUAUAUAUAUAUAUAUAUAUAUAUAUAUAUAUAUUAAAAUAACUAAUAAAAAAAUAAAAAUGGAUAAUCAAUAAAUGGAAUUUAACUCUUUUUAUUAUUUUCACAUAAAAAAUAGAACCAAACAAGGUUUUCAAUAUUCAUUUUUAAAAAUAGUUUUCAAUUUUUAAUUAAAGGUAUUCUCAAAAAGAGAAAAUAUAAAAAAAUAAAAAUCAUAUAACCAUAUUUUUUUAGAAGGUAUUUUUCAAAAUAGUUUUAAAAUCAUUAAUGUAAUUUUUCUUUAUUUAUAAUUUAAAAUAGAAAAUAAUACCCAAUUGUAAUUAUUUAUGAAAAAAGUUUUUAAAAACAAUGAAAAAUCCAAACCAGUGAAAUAAAAUUGUGUUGGGUAUGUGAAUGGUAGUGCAAUCAAGAUAAAAUAGUUUAAUAAAUGAUGGAUCCAACAAAAACCAACAUGAACAUGGAAUAGGUCUGAUAGCUGAGCUUAUGCAGCUGAGAAGGAAAUAUACAGAAGAGAAAAAGGAGAGUUGUUUCUCAUUAUGUCAAGAUUACAUUGGCACAAGUAUUUAUAGGCUAAGUAAGGUGGUUAGUUAAGGUGAGUUUGGAGAGGUUACACGGUUGCUCAGUUACAACUGUAUGAGAGGCAGUUAGGGUAGAAUUUGUUUGGUUAUCACAAAUGAGUAUUUUAGUCCACCACUAUUUUAUAUUAUUUUUGUUAAUUAUAGGUGAUAUAAAGACCUUGGGCCAAUUUUCAGGCCCAUCUCAUCCCAAAACACAAAUCUCCCUAUUCAAUAUAUCACUAGUGAACUUGACCCACACCCAUAAAUUUUCUCAUACGUGAUAAGAUUGAAGUUGAUUUUGUUGUGAAAGAGGGUUGCCCAAAUUCAAUAUAUUACUGGUGAACCUGACCCACACCUAUAAAUGUUCUCUUAUGCUCCAAGAAGACUGAAGUGACUAAGAGGCUAUACAAAAUCCAUGAAAAUAGUUUUAGGAAGUUCAAAUAUUAUUUCAAAUGUUCUUUUAUAAUAUUUAUGGGAGAAUCAUGUACGGGUGCACCAUCUUAAAAGGAUUACAUUUUUAAUUUUUUAAGUUUUGACUUUUGACUUUCAAAGUGCAUACAUUUAGAGGAAAAUAAUCCUCAAAAUAUGCACUUUAUUCUAGUGGUGCACCAUUUCAAAAAAAUUGCAUGUUUUUAAAACUUUGACUUUUUACUUUCAAAAUGCAUAUAUUUUGAAAAAAAAUAAUCCUCAAAAAGUCAUUAACAUGUCAAAAUUACCCUUUAACCCUCGGCUCACCAACUGUAAUUGUUACAAAUUUUCCUUUACCUUUUUUUUUCAUCAUGAUUAAUAUUUUUUUUAAAUGACACGUGGAUACCAACCAUGCCACAUAAUUUUUCUUUUUUCUUUUUUUAUCUCCUCCAUAACACCUCUUCAUUUUUGUUAAUGUGUUGGCUUCAUUAAAUUCAAUUUUUUUUGCACAAUUUCAUAUUUUCAUAUUUAUUGAUUUUAAUUAUUUAUGAACAUUUUAAACAUAAAAUAAUAUUAUACAAUAAAUCAUUAAUGAGAACAAAUUUAAUAUAAAAAUAAACAUAUAAAAAUAAAUUUAGAGAUUUAUGACAUAAGAUUUUCUAUAUUUCCUAAAAAAAUAUUUAUUUNNNNNNNNNNNNNNNNNNNNNNNNNNNNNNNNNNNNNNNNNNNNNNNNNNNNNNNNNNNNNNNNNNNNNNNNNNNNNNNNNNNNNNNNNNNNNNNNNNNNAAAAAAAUAUUUAUUUAUUUUAUAAAUCUUACCAUAUUGCCAUAUUUUUUUAUUGUUUGUAUUUUAAUAUUUUUAAAUUUUCAAGUGAUAAUCAUAAUCAAUGAUUAUGGUUUUGGCUUUUUGUUUGUAAAUCUAAUUUAACUAUUGGGAGAAUUACCGAAUAGGGUGGACUAAAUAAAAUAAUUACUGGGAAGGGUGGUCCAUUUUAAUAACCGUUAGGAAGGACAAUAAUAUGCUUAAAUACCAAAAAUGUCCUUCAACUAAAAGCUUUUAAAAUUCAAAACAUUUUAUGGUGCGUGGGCCCCAUGACAUUCAAAUUUUAAAUCAAAAAUUUGGAUUUAAUUUAUUAUAUAUAAUGAUAGUAUAAGUUGUUAUUUAAAUUUACUAUUUAAAACAAAAAAUACUUCUAAAAAAUAUUUUUUAAAUGACAUUUAAUUUUUUUUUCUUAUUUUAUUAAGAAAAAAGCAAGUUUCAUAAUUAUAUAAUAAAAAUGAUGACUUUUUCAUAUAUAUAUAUAUAUAUAUAUAUAUAUAUAUAUAUAUAUAUAUAUAUAUAUAUAUAUAUAUAUAUAUAUAUAUUUCUAAUUUUAAAUUUAAAUGAUUUUUCUAUAUUUUUUUUCCUUUGUAUAGUGUUUUUUCUUAAUUUUCAUAUAUAAUUUUUUCAUCUUUUUUUUCUCAAUACAUCGAUUGGAUGAUGUUAGUACAUAUGAUAUGUUAAAUAUUAAUGAAAUAUAAUAAAAAUAUGUUAUAAUUACAAUAUAAAUACACUUACAUUACAAUACAUUACAAUAAAACUUAAUUAGGAAAAUUUUAAACUUUUUUUUAUAAAAGUGUUAGUUUUGUAUGAUCAUACCAUAUUUCAUAACAUACCUAUAUUAUGAAUCACUAACGAAACCAAAUAAAAUACUAUUUUAAAUUCAUGAGACUUGUGAGUUUUAUAUAUAUAUACAAAAAUUAUUAAAUAAUUUCAAUGUGUUGGGUGAAUGAUGUUAAUAUACUGAUAAUGAUGUGUUAAUACCAAUAGAAUAUGAAUAAAUAUUUUUAAAAUUAUUACUUUUGUAAUGAAAUAUAAGUACGAUAUAAAUGUAUUAUACUUACAACAUAAAUACACUAAUGGUAUAAUAUAUUAUAACAUAAUUUAAUUUAUUUUUGUUUAAUUUUUUCAUGUGAUAUAUUACCCAAUGAAUAGUUACGUGUUAUUCCAUUGAACAAAUGUAUAUUAUUCGAUUGAAUAUUUGUAUAUUAGACUAAUAAAGCUGUAAGGAUUAAAAUAACAAAUUUAAACAACAUCAAAAUAUUUUUUAGAAGUAUUUUUGUUUUAAAUAGUAAAUUUAAAUAAUAAAUUAUACUAUCUUUAUAUAUAAUAAUUAUAAGGAUUAAUCUUUUGAUUUAAAAUUUGAAUGUCAAUAAUUACAAUAAAUGUGAGACUCACCCCCUAACAAAAAAUGAAGUGUUUUAAAUGCUUUGAAUUUUACAAGUUUUUAAUUGGCAUUUUUUAUGUUUAAGCCUAUCCCUAACAGUUAUAAAAAAACAUCUUAAACAUCUGGCUUCUUAUUUGUAUCAAGAAGGGUUUAUGGGCGUUAGGAAGGCUAGAAAAAGUCCCACACGUACGGUUCUUCAUUCAUUUCCAACAUUGAGUUUUUCAUGAGUCAUGCUUACCAACCAAAAAGCAAGUUUCCACCUAAUUAGAGUGAGAAGUGAAGACUGGCGGGCAAGGCGUGGCGGCCUCUGCAUCAGCAAAUUUUCAAGGAGCAGAUGGGCAAAAUCAGUAUAUAUGCACCCAGGGUACAACCCAGGAAAACACUUAUAUCAACUCCCAUGGGCAAACACAUUGGUGUCUUGGCCUUCCCCUUCGCUUCCCACCCUCUAACGCUUCUGGGGCUGGUCCGCAGGCUUGCGUCUGCAGCACCCGACGCCAAGUUCUCAUUCUUCAGCACUGCAAACUCCAACAGCUUCCUCUUCUCCGCUCGAAGCCCCGGUGGUGUUCUUGGUAAUCUGAAACCCUAUGAUGUUCCGGAUGGGGUGCCGGUGGGUCAUGUGCUGUCUGGGAACCCUGCAGAGGGUGAUGGGCUUUUCUUGAAGGAAGCACCUGCGAAUUUUAAGCGGGCCAUGGAAGUGGCGGUAGCGGAGACUGGGAGGAAGAUUAGCUGCCUGGUGACUGAUGCCUUGUUGUGGUUUGCAGCUGAUAUGGCUGAGGAAAUGGGGGUUCCUUGGGUCCCAUUUUGGAGCGCUGGCCUCUCUGCGCUCUCUGCCCACUUACACACUGAUGCCAUCAGGCAAAUGAUGGGUGUUAGAGGUGAGCGAAACCUUAGUUUUUUUGUUAAAGUUUUUUAUGAAACUUUUAUGCUAGUUUUGCAGACUGAUACCAUCUCUGCUGUUAAAGAUUUAUUUAUGUUCUGGAGUAAUAUUUUACGCGAUUGCAGGUCAUGAAGACCAGACCCUUAGCUUCAUUCCAGGACUGUCCGCAAUGACCUUCCAAGACUUACCUGGAGAAAUAGCUUCCGGGAACUUGGAUUCUACCCCCUCACUCAUGCUACACAAAAUGGGGCUCACACUGCCACGCGCAACUGCUAUUGUUGCCAACUCCUUUGAAGAGCUAGACCCCGUAGUAGCAACACAUCUCAAGUCCAAGCU
Molecule: long non-coding RNA, 24851 nt
Filed under: Vitis vinifera (wine grape)
Lineage: Eukaryota; Viridiplantae; Streptophyta; Magnoliopsida; Vitales; Vitaceae
Description: long non-coding RNA (VVIN_LNC001871)
Source: RNAcentral